Molecule: ribosomal RNA, 607 nt
Filed under: Penicillium sp.
Lineage: Eukaryota; Fungi; Ascomycota; Eurotiomycetes; Eurotiales; Aspergillaceae
Description: partial large subunit ribosomal RNA
Rfam family: Eukaryotic large subunit ribosomal RNA
Source: RNAcentral
GCAUAUCAAAAAGCGGAGGAAAAGAAACCACCGUGGAUUGUCCCAGUAACGGCGAGUGAAGCGGCAAGAGCUCAAAUUUGAAAGCUGGCUCCUUCGGGGUCCGCAUUGUAAUUUGUAGAGGAUGCUUCGGGAGCGGUCCCCAUCUAAGUGCCCUGGAACGGGACGUCAUAGAGGGUGAGAAUCCCGUAUGGGAUGGGGUGUCCGCGCCCGUGUGAAGCUCCUUCGACGAGUCGAGUUGUUUGGGAAUGCAGCUCUAAAUGGGUGGUAAAUUUCAUCUAAAGCUAAAUAUUGGCCGGAGACCGAUAGCGCACAAGUAGAGUGAUCGAAAGAUGAAAAGCACUUUGAAAAGAGAGUUAAAAAGCACGUGAAAUUGUUGAAAGGGAAGCGCUUGCGACCAGACUCGCUCGCGGGGUUCAGCCGGCAUUCGUGCCGGUGUACUUCCCCGCGGGCGGGCCAGCGUCGGUUUGGGCGGUCGGUCAAAGGCCCUCGGAAGGUAACGCCCCUAGGGGCGUCUUAUAGCCGAGGGUGCAAUGCGACCUGCCUAGACCGAGGAACGCGCUUCGGCUCGGACGCUGGCUUGAUGGUGGUUUACGACCCGUCUUGACCC